GAUGCAGCCAUGCCGCGUGUGUGAAGAAGGCCUUCGGGUUGUAAAGCACUUUCAGCGAGGAGGAAAGGUUAGGUCUUAAUACGGCCUAGCUGUGACGUUACUCGCAGAAGAAGCACCGGCUAACUUCGUGCCAGCAGCCGCGGUAAUACGAGGGGGUGCAAGCGUUAAUCGGAAUUACUGGGCGUAAAGCGUACGCAGGCGGUUUGUUAAGCGAGAUGUGAAAGCCCCGGGCUCAACCUGGGAACUGCAUUUCGAACUGGCAAACUAGAGUCUUGUAGAGGGGGGUAGAAUUUCAGGUGUAGCGGUGAAAUGCGUAGAGAUCUGAAGGAAUACCGGUGGCGAAGGCGGCCCCCUGGACAAAGACUGACGCUCAGGUACGAAAGCGUGGGGAGCAAACAGGAUUAGAUACCCUGGUAGUCCACGCCGUAAACGAUGUCUACUCGGAAUUUGGUGUCUUGAACACUGGGUUCUCAAGCUAACGCAUUAAGUAGACCGCCUGGGGAGUACGGCCGCAAGGUUAAAACUCAAAUGAAUUGACGGGGGCCCGCACAAGCGGUGGAGCAUGUGGUUUAAUUCGAUGCAACGCGAAGAACCUUACCUACUCUUGACAUCCUCAG
This 617-nucleotide ribosomal RNA is filed under the name Shewanella sp. RNAcentral's name for it is "bacterial SSU rRNA". It matches the Rfam family "Bacterial small subunit ribosomal RNA", at positions 385 to 993 of the family's 1533-position model. Lineage: Bacteria; Pseudomonadati; Pseudomonadota; Gammaproteobacteria; Alteromonadales; Shewanellaceae. The record is from RNAcentral.